AAUCCGAGAAUUUCACCUCCAACGCAGCAGUACGAAUGCCCCCGUCUGUCCCUCUUAAUCAUUACCUCGUGCUCCGAAAACCAACAAAAUAGAACCGAGGUCCUAUUCCAUUAUUCCAUGCACCACUAUUCAGGCAUAUGCCUGCGUUAAGCACUCUAAUUUUUUCAAAGUAAACGUGCUAGCCACUCAAGGCACUCAGUAAAGAGCACCAAGAGAAAACCAGCAAGGUAGGUCACGACAACUAGUAUUCCGAGAAGGAAACCAGAGUCGAUGACCGCAGAUCCAACUACGAGCUUUUUAACCGCAACAACUUUAAUAUACGCUAUUGGAGCUGGAAUUA
This 340-nucleotide unclassified non-coding RNA is filed under the name uncultured bacterium. RNAcentral's name for it is "contains 16S-23S intergenic spacer region". The record is from RNAcentral.